GCCGACGUAGCUCAGUGGCAGAGCAGCUCACUCGUAAUGAGCAGGUCGCGGGUUCGACUCCCAUCGUCGGCU
RNAcentral lists this transfer RNA (72 nucleotides) under Syntrophorhabdaceae bacterium. Its description in RNAcentral is "tRNA-Thr". It matches the Rfam family "tRNA". From Rfam's summary of the family: Transfer RNA (tRNA) molecules are approximately 80 nucleotides in length. Lineage: Bacteria; Pseudomonadati; Thermodesulfobacteriota; Syntrophorhabdia; Syntrophorhabdales; Syntrophorhabdaceae. The record is from RNAcentral.